GUGGGGAAUUUUGGACAAUGGGCGAAAGCCUGAUCCAGCCAUGCCGCGUGCAGGAUGAAGGCCUUCGGGUUGUAAACUGCUUUUGUACGGAACGAAAAGACUCCUUCUAAUAAAGGGGGUCCAUGACGGUACCGUAAGAAUAAGCACCGGCUAACUACGUGCCAGCAGCCGCGGUAAUACGUAGGGUGCAAGCGUUAAUCGGAAUUACUGGGCGUAAAGCGUGCGCAGGCGGUUAUAUAAGACAGAUGUGAAAUCCCCGGGCUCAACCUGGGAACUGCAUGUGUGACUGUAUAGCUAGAGUACGGUAGAGGGGGAUGGAAUUCCGCGUGUAGCAGUGAAAUGCGUAGAUAUGCGGAGGAACACCGAUGGCGAAGGCAAUCCCCUGGACCUGUACUGACGCUCAUGCACGAAAGCGUGGGGAGCAAACAGGAUUAGAUACCCUGGUAGUCC
This 450-nucleotide ribosomal RNA is filed under the name uncultured bacterium. RNAcentral's name for it is "partial 16S ribosomal RNA". It matches the Rfam family "Bacterial small subunit ribosomal RNA", at positions 354 to 796 of the family's 1533-position model. The record is from RNAcentral.